Long non-coding RNA from Hemicordylus capensis (graceful crag lizard), 1960 nucleotides. RefSeq lists it as uncharacterized. The transcript has 4 exons. The record is from RefSeq and is a predicted model, not a curated record. Lineage: Eukaryota; Metazoa; Chordata; Lepidosauria; Squamata; Cordylidae.
UCAUAAUCAUGCAUAGCUGCUGCUAUAUACAGCGCCAUUAAUUCUAAGGCUGGAAUAUUUGAAGAUAAGCAUCCAUAAUUUUCAUCAACAAAAGUACAGCUCUUGGAGGAUAUAUAAGCAACUCGACCAGGUGACUAGGGAUUAAAUGGCUGAAGUGAGAUCUGGCUUCUCAAGGAAAGAGCACAGCCGAGGCACUGCUAAAAGGCACUCCUGGGCACAACUGCUACCUGGUUAUCCAAGAGCAGGCCUGGAUCUAGGAAUACCCUGGAAGCUGAAAACCUAAUUUUUAAGGGAAGUGAGACUUAGUCAAAAAACAAAAGAAACAAAAAACAGAACAGGCUACUGUACCACCUGCUCUCUCAAUCCUCAACCAGUGGUACCUUCAUCUUUUCCGUGUAAAGCCUGUUUAUGGAAUGAAAGAAAAAAGCUACAUACCAACGUCAGUACCUGUCAUCAAAUCACCAUGCAUUUGUUGAAAUCCAGGAAUUGGUCUUGUUGUGAGAUACCAUACAGCAUGAAGAACAUCUGUUGCAUGUAUUCGAUUGUGAUCUAAAAAUCAUAAUGUUAAUUUAAAUAUUAGGCAGAAGACUUGGUCACAAGAAUGUUGUCAGAAACUGCAGUUACUGUGAGGGAAGUGAAAUUGAAAAGUGGCUGUGAAAAACCUUACACAGAGUUGUCUGCCUAUGGCAGGAAGGGUAAUAUAGGCUGUUAACAGGAUGGGCGGCGGCUGAAUGAAUCCAGGCUGGAGGAUUACAAAACACAGACUGAGAGCCAAGGAGUAAGAGCAACCCAAAAGUUACAUGUUAACAAGUGGGUUGGGAAACAGGGACCCAACGAAAGAAUGAGUGGAGGAAAUCAUGGGGUGGAAGGAAGAAGGAGCCCAAAUAAAGUGGUCAAAAACUGGUAAAACACUUGGAUUUAAAGACAGAAGUAAAUGGCUAUAUAUUGUCGUCAGUGGCAAUAAAGUGGGAGAAAGGCAAGAAAUGGAGAGACACUCUGUAGGGAAAGUGCUGUAGUCCUUUGAUCAUUUCAACUGGGCCUUUAUGUACUUUUUCUAGAUCCUUUCUGAGAAGACGUUGAUCAGAAAUGUAGCCACACUAUACAAUUAUAUUUGGAAUUAUAGUUUGGUGAGGAUUCCAAGGUUUCUGUUCCCUAGCACCCUCACCAUAAUACUACAAUUCCAAGAAUUCUCUGGACAGAAAGAAUAACUACUGAGCCAGUUGAAAUCCCCGGUGUAUGUGUAUCACCAGAAGAAUGAAGAAUUAAAGUUAAAUAGGAAUCUGCCUUAUCCUGAUCAGACCAUUGUUCCAUCUAGCUCAGCAUUGUCAAUCCUGAGUGGCAGCAGUUCUCUAGGAUUUCAGACAGAGGUCUUUUCCAGUCAUACCUGGAGAUAUCAGGGAUUGAAUCUGGAACCUUCUGCAUAAAAACACACACACUAGGUUUCUCACAAACCUAGACAGCAAGUUACAGAACAUGACAUAUUCACACCAGCAACAAACCUGACUAAGGAUUCUAUUGGAUUUAUCUCCCAUUUUUUUAAGAAGAUCAAAUAUUUGAAAAUUCCAGUUAUUCAUCUUUUCCAUCAGUGAAUUGUGGUCUUCUAUUGCCAUCAGCUCUAUUGAAGGAUCUUCCUUCAUCUGUAUAAGAGUAAUAUACAGACAAAGAUAUGUGUUUGUUAAAGACCUUUAGCAUAUGCAUUAUCUAUAUAAAUAAAAUAUGCCUUAUCUUAUACACACACACACAGAGAUAGAUAUAUAGAUAUAGAUAUAUAUGUUCCCUAUAGAUUCCUACACCCUUUGAGCUAUUGGGACCAAACUUUGCAAAGUGACUUCCCAUGACCCUACAAGUAACAUAGGGUACCCAGAAACCCCGACCAUCACCCCUCUAACCUAUUAUAAAUUUUUAUUAUAAGCCCGAGUAAUGCUGGGUACUUCAAGCUAGUGAUAAAACACAGUCUUUU